AAGGUGAUGCGACUCUGAGUUAAAACUCCAGCCGGAGUCUGCAUGCCCUCCAGCUUCAGGGUCCCCUCCUCUUGGGACACGUAGGUGGAGCCCCGAGCCCCCGAGUAAGUGAAAGGGCUCCUCGAACCACCCGCCCCCCGUCCCUGCACAUUAGGCCUCCCACCUGCACCCCGAAACUGCCUCCCUCUGUGCCCUGAGACACCCCAGAGUGAGUCUGAUAAGCGCGCUGUGGCUCCAAGGAAUCCAGAAUAUGGACUCAAGUCUCCUUGCCUUACAAAACCAAGUCACCUCGCUCCUUCAACAGAGACUGGCCGGUAGGGAGGACGGGCGCGGGGGACGGUCCCAAUUCCAGGUGGACUUACAGCAAGAGAUCCAACCCGCGCGCCCUUUGCCUGGACGGGAUCACCCGCUGGGACACCACCAAAGCGCAGAGCGCGCCCAGAAGGACCUGAGCGGCGACCCCCACCCCGCGGUCCAUACCCGUUCGGGGCCCGCGCUGGCCUCCGCGGUGGCCGUGACCCUGCAGGGAAACGCCGGGAGCGCCCCUCCCACGUGCGUCGCGGACCUCUUGGCCCCGCUCAGUCCCCCGGAGUUGGCAGAGGAUCGCUCCUAGCGCAGGACUCCGGGCAGCUCGUGUUUAGAACGGGAGCGCAAAUUCUAUUUCCAAGAGCUGUGACAACGUGAGCGGCCGCCCGCCAUUGCGCCGUCAUCAGGCUUGUUUACCAAUUUUAAGUCUUUGUCAUGCAGGAAAUGUGAUUUCAUCAAAGUAGAAAAUAAACGCAAAAGAAUGCCCAGCCCCUAACUCGAGGACCUGUGUAUCCAUUAUCUCGGGAUUCCUCCAAAGUAGUGUUAGUAAGCUCCAUCUAAGUAUUGAAGGAGCAUCAUGAUGAGUACAGUGGAAUCAACCCUGAAGAAGGUAGACGUGGCUUGGAGAAGAGUUAACAAUCCAUGGGAUGAAUGGCAGGACAUAGUUUGUCAUCUCUAUUUGGAUUAUGAGUGAGUGUAAGUGUCUGACGAUUGGAUUAGCUCCCUUUCUGAGAACUCAUGUGCCUGGCACCUUGAAUACAAUCCUUCCAGCAGCCCAGCAAGGUGGGGGCCUUUUAUCCCCAAUUUCAGCAUCAGAAAAUGAAGGCUCUGAGAAGCCUACUGACUUGUCUGCUAAGAAGUAACAGAGCCUGGGCAUUAAAACUGAGUCAGAUGGACUCUGAAAGCCCAUGUUCUUCCGCCUGCACUGCGCGGUCCCUCAGAGUGGCUGGCUGCCCAAGAGAGGGGUGGUGCAUGGCAGCCACCUAGCUGGAGAUGACGAUGGUGAAAUAAAGAGUAACCUCUAGGAAUAUGAGUUGUGUAGCUGUCUAAGCAACAGCUGGGAGUGGAGAAGUCUGCACUUACACACAUACAUUCAACCUCGGUCUCUCCUGCAGGGAUGCAGACUCUUGCUCUAUCUUCUCAAGCAAAUCCUCUGGUUUGCUUUUGCCAUGGAAAAGCAUCCCCAGAAAUUAUAGAAGAAACUGUGAUUAGGAAGAUAUGGAAGAGUUAGGAAGGUAGACCAAGAAUGAAAUUAGGAUAGAGACUGGGAAAAGAAAACCAUAGGGCCCCUUCCUCCAUGUGCCCUGCUGUGACGUGAUCCAUCAAGGGGUCACCAGUAUCAUUCGCAAGCCUUCAGGCCACAGAGACCAGCCACACUUCGACACUGGUCUUUGUCACAGGAGAGCAGAGGCGGUGGUGUGGAAGAAGAAUGACUCUCCUCCCUUUCCCACAUCACUUUCACCUGAAGAUCAGUUAGGCGGCCUUCUUGGCCCGCUUAGCAACCGCUAGGAGACAGGUGAGCCCAUUGUAGGAUAUUCUGGUCAACGUUUGCAUCAUUUAGGGGAAUGAAGAAGCAGGUAGUCGUUAGUUAAAAUUACUAGUUAAAAAAAUGGAUUCGCAUUUCAAAGCAAAAAUCAGAACAGAACAAAAACAUCCUCACUGUUUCAGGCAUCUGAGCUCUUUAGUGUGUUAGAAUCCAAAGGAUCCAAAAGUCACUCAAACAUCUACAGACUGAGGGUGGCUUACCUGGAUUCUAAAAGCUGCAUUCACUCCAGGACUCCCUGUAACGUAUAAAAUAUUAAUAUGCCUUAAACUGGAAAUGAAAUCUAACUGCCUCUGGGGACACUCCAACAGUCCUCUAUACCCAGACAGUAAGCCUGCAAGGAGAUUUAUGGAGAAGGAUUACAGUGGCGGUUUAAGAAGCAGCGUAAAACCUAACACAUGAUCUGGCCCCCAGCUGGCUAACUCACAGUCAGGAGAGCCCAGGGACACCUCUUUCCUGCCUCAUUGUGGACCAAGCGUAUGCAGAGCCACAUGUCUGGGGACCACCCUGCAUUCCAGCUAGUUGACUCAGUACAUUGCUUCAGGCGAAUUCUACAAUUGUGUGACCCAUCCAGUUUUUUUGCUCACCAGUCUCAUGCCCAGGGAGUGCCAGUGGCUCCAUUUCUCAGAUUCUCUACCAGAAGCAUGUCUGGCUUUGUUUCCCAAUGACACUUUCCUUGUGGUACUCAGCUAGUUUGCAGCCCCGGUUGUGCCUGGACUUAGGAGGUGGCCAAGGAGAGGAUGUGGACAGUGAGAAAGCAACAGCUGAGGGUCUCUCAUGACAGGGGGUGGGGGUGGGGAGAAGCCUGAGAUCAAAACUUGCCAUGGGAAAUUCAACAAAUCAAAACAAUGAGUAGCAGACUGGAGAGGAAUUCAAUGCCAUGACAUACAGUGGAGGAACUACUUGGGGCCUAACUGUGCUCUUACAGUAAAGCUUAAAUCAUGCUGUAUAGACAGCCAGCUGUGCUGUGAGACCAUCCCCAUGCCUGCAUGCUCUGUGGUGCCACUGUCAUCAUUUAUUUCCCUACAUAGCCUAAGGGGAAUUCAGUAUUAAAAUAGUCUGCUCAACAAACAAGUCAAAUGACUUCUAAGUAAGAUGAAGUGAUGGCCCAGGCAUACCCACGGGGCUGGGCACACUAUUUGCAGGCUUAAUCCAUAGACUCAAUCCUCCCUGGGCUAGCAAGCCUGCAGCUAUAUCUACUCAGUGGUAGAGAGAAGAGAUGGAAAAUUGGGGUCCACACUUGGGGACCUCUCCCCCCCAAAAAAGAUCAUUUUUUCAAUAUUUGUAAGUGAUUACAUAGCUUUGUGACCUAGAAUGUAAAGUUGUUUUCAUUUGUCCUUCCUUUAAAUGUUUGUAUUCAUUGCAUUGAAUCUCUCUUUUUAUUCCUCUUGAACACUUAUUUUUGUUGUGUUUCCUUGUUCUCAAUAAAAA
Molecule: long non-coding RNA, 3280 nt
Organism: Manis pentadactyla (Chinese pangolin)
Lineage: Eukaryota; Metazoa; Chordata; Mammalia; Pholidota; Manidae
Exons: 3
Source: RefSeq, a predicted model, not a curated record